UUACAUACUAGCCCAGCUUGGUAGGGCGUUUGAUUGAUUAAUCAGAAUGUCGCGGGUUCAAAUCCCGCGUAUGAAA
RNAcentral lists this transfer RNA (76 nucleotides) under Chlorogloea purpurea SAG 13.99. RNAcentral's name for it is "tRNA-Ile". It matches the Rfam family "tRNA". Rfam says of the family: Transfer RNA (tRNA) molecules are approximately 80 nucleotides in length. Their secondary structure includes four short double-helical elements and three loops (D, anti-codon, and T loops). Lineage: Bacteria; Bacillati; Cyanobacteriota; Cyanophyceae; Chroococcales; Entophysalidaceae. The record is from RNAcentral.